CCUGCCUCUGGAGAAUUUGCAGGUGUGGCUGCUGUGUCACAUGUCAGUAGGUGGCAGAGAGGAGAGAGACUGUGUCUAUGCUCAGGUUUCUGACCCGUGAACAUCUGAAUGAUUAGAUGGCUAACAUU
Molecule: small nucleolar RNA, 128 nt
Organism: Meriones unguiculatus (Mongolian gerbil)
Lineage: Eukaryota; Metazoa; Chordata; Mammalia; Rodentia; Muridae
Source: Ensembl